Molecule: long non-coding RNA, 839 nt
Organism: Anolis carolinensis (green anole)
Lineage: Eukaryota; Metazoa; Chordata; Lepidosauria; Squamata; Anolidae
Exons: 4
Source: RefSeq, a predicted model, not a curated record
GUACAAGCAGACCAGGGAGACCAAGGGCUCCAUCGACCAUUAACUGGAAUAAUCCAGACAACAGGAGAAAUUAACAUUAAUAAUAAACACAAUUAAAAGCACGGGUCAUCAUUACCAGAUCUGAUAGUUCAACAACACAUGCCAACCAAAGAUUUCAUGUAUCCCGGUUCUUUGAUGCAGCUCCUAUUGUCAUGCCACUCAUUCUUUCCAUUGCUCCCUGAGUCACCACCAGUUUUUCCUCCUCUAACUGUGCUGUUGCCCGUGUUUCAGGUCCCACAGACUCCACAAAGGAUUAAUGUAAUGCUGCUGUUCCUAAGAGAUAGAACUGGUCAGAAUACUAGAGCAUCCUGAUGUACAUUAUUUCAACACCCUUGUCCCUAAACACUGGAAAUGGUAAGUUCUCAUAUAUCAUAAUCAAUGAAAUAAUUAAAAGUUAGCACUGCCAAUCACAAAACCACAGUCCUUCCUCCCCCCCCCCCUUUCACUUUCUAUAUGGAGCACUUGGGAAGAAAUGAAUCCGUUUUUGCACUAGAUUGUUCUGCAUCCGAAUGAAGCUUUGAUUGAGACAUUUAUCAAAUCUCUCUUAAUGAGAGUUAUUCAGUCAGGAUUCAGCUUAUUCCCAAAUAUACUAAUAUUUGGCAUAUUUAUAUGGUGAACUUUUUUAUUUAUUUCUCUGACAGAAAAGGUAAAAUCACCUGCAAUACAUCUAGAAGCCCCACUCAGACUCUGCUUUCUCUUUCCAUAAUCAAUGGCGGUUGGUGGCUCCCACAUCAGCUGAGCAGUAAAUCUAUCCCAGAUUUUAGCACAAGUUUUAAGAGCAUUCUCCAAGGUGCUGAAGA